GUGUCAGCAGCCGCGGUAACACGUAGGGGGCGAGCGUUGUCCGGAUUUAUUGGGCGUAAAGAGCUCGUAGGCGGUUCGGUAAGUCGGGUGUGAAAACUCAAGGCUCAACCUUGAGACGCCACCCGAUACUGCUGUGACUAGAGUCCGGUAGGGGAGCGUGGAAUUCCUGGUGUAGCGGUGAAAUGCGCAGAUAUCAGGAGGAACACCAGCGGCGAAGGCGGCGCUCUGGGCCGGAACUGACGCUGAGGAGCGAAAGCGUGGGGAGCGAACAGGAUUAGAUACCCUGGUAGUCCACGCCGUAAACGUUGGGCACUAGGUGUGGGACCCUGUCAACGGGUUCCGUGCCGUAGCUAACGCAUUAAGUGCCCCGCCUGGGGAGUACGGCCGCAAGGCUAAA
RNAcentral lists this ribosomal RNA (397 nucleotides) under uncultured bacterium. RNAcentral describes it as "bacterial SSU rRNA". It matches the Rfam family "Bacterial small subunit ribosomal RNA", at positions 505 to 898 of the family's 1533-position model. The record is from RNAcentral.